Molecule: ribosomal RNA, 644 nt
Filed under: uncultured bacterium
Lineage: Bacteria
Description: bacterial SSU rRNA
Rfam family: Bacterial small subunit ribosomal RNA
Source: RNAcentral
GCCUACACAUGCAAGUCGAGCGGCAGCGACUUAACUGAACCUUCGGGGAACGUUAAGGGCGGCGAGCGGCGAACGGGUGAGUAAUGCCUGGGAAUAUGCCCUGAUGUGGGGGAUAACUAUUGGAAACGAUAGCUAAUACCGCAUAAUCUCUUCGGAGCAAAGAGGGGGACCUUCGGGCCUCUCGCGUCAGGAUUAGCCCAGGUGGGAUUAGCUUGUUGGUGAGGUAAUGGCUCACCAAGGCAACGAUCCCUAGCUGGUCUGAGAGGAUGAUCAGCCACACUGGAACUGAGACACGGUCCAGACUCCUACGGGAGGCAGCAGUGGGGAAUAUUGCACAAUGGGGGAAACCCUGAUGCAGCCAUGCCGCGUGUAUGAAGAAGGCCUUCGGGUUGUAAAGUACUUUCAGUAGGGAGGAAGGCAGUGUCGUUAAUAGCGGCAUUGUUUGACGUUACCUACAGAAGAAGCACCGGCUAACUCCGUGCCAGCAGCCGCGGUAAUACGGAGGGUGCGAGCGUUAAUCGGAAUUACUGGGCGUAAAGCGCAUGCAGGCGGUCUGUUAAGCAAGAUGUGAAAGCCCGGGGCUCAACCUCGGAACAGCAUUUUGAACUGGCAGACUAGAGUCUUGUAGAGGGGGGUAGAAUUUC